UACGUAGGGGGUUAGCGUUGUCCGGAAUCAUUGGGCGUAAAGCGCGUGUAGGCGGUUCGGUAAGUCCGCUGUGAAAGUCGGGGGCUCAACCCUCGGAUGCCGGUGGAUACUGUCGAGCUUGAGUACGGAAGAGGCGAGUGGAAUUCCUGGUGUAGCGGUGAAAUGCGCAGAUAUCAGGAGGAACACCAAUUGCGAAGGCAGCUCGCUGGGACGUUACUGACGCUGAGACGCGAAAGCGUGGGGAGCAAACAGG
Molecule: ribosomal RNA, 253 nt
Filed under: uncultured bacterium
Lineage: Bacteria
Description: partial 16S ribosomal RNA
Rfam family: Bacterial small subunit ribosomal RNA
Source: RNAcentral